CCGUGGAUUCAUUCUUUGAUUCCGGCGGACAAAGAAUCCGGGUUUCAGUUCAAAAAUUCCGUAUCACUAUGAUAGCCAUAUGUGUGAUGGAACUGCAGGCCUGCGU
Myotis davidii is the source of this 106-nucleotide long non-coding RNA. RefSeq lists it as uncharacterized. NCBI's taxonomy places the organism in Eukaryota, Metazoa, Chordata, Mammalia, Chiroptera, Vespertilionidae. The transcript is spliced from 3 exons. The record is from RefSeq and is a predicted model, not a curated record.